Molecule: ribosomal RNA, 433 nt
Filed under: uncultured prokaryote
Description: partial 16S ribosomal RNA
Source: RNAcentral
CCCUAUGGGGUGCCAGCAAUGGACAAGGCCGGCCGUGAUGGCUCAAAGGUUUUUGGAAGAGUUCCGGAUCCCGCCGGAGGCAAACCAAGGCCUCGGGGCGGAUCGAGGCGAUUUGCUCCAGAAACACCGCCACAUCAGCCAAGGCAAAUGGGCGGCCGACCACCCGGGUGCGCAAGGGUAUUUGGGCGCAUAAUUCACCCGCCUGAGCGAGAUCGCCGGCAAAGUGGCUUUGGGCAAAAAAAUCACGGGAAUCGACCGAGCGUUUCAAGCGCUCAAGGUCUUCCACCUCGCCCUCGAUGAACAAAAUCGGAUGGCUCAUGGCUGCUUCGGUCGAUAUCCACGCAAAUGAUCCGGAUAAACCUUUACUCUGGAUAGCUCAACAUGCCAAGCAUUAUUUCGUGGCGCCUGGGAGCGGGACAAAUUCCCUGGGAGC